Molecule: ribosomal RNA, 303 nt
Filed under: uncultured bacterium
Lineage: Bacteria
Description: bacterial SSU rRNA
Rfam family: Bacterial small subunit ribosomal RNA
Source: RNAcentral
AUUGAACGCUGGCGGCAGGCCUAACACAUGCAAGUCGAGCGAUAACGGUCUUCGGACUUAUUAAAGCGGCGGACGGGUGAGUAACGCGUGGGAAUCUUCCCAGUAGUGGGGGACAACAGUUGGAAACGACUGCUAAUACCGCAUACGUCCUACGGGAGAAAGGGGGCCUCUAUUUAUAAGCUCUCGCUAUUGGAUGAGCCCGCGUAAGAUUAGCUAGUUGGUGGGGUAAAAGCCUACCAAGGCGACGAUCUUUAGCUGGUCUGAGAGGAUGAUCAGCCACACUGGAACUGAGACACGGUCCAG